This 268-nucleotide signal recognition particle RNA is filed under the name Paenibacillus sp. 598K. RNAcentral describes it as "Bacterial large signal recognition particle RNA". It matches the Rfam family "Bacterial large signal recognition particle RNA". From Rfam's summary of the family: The signal recognition particle (SRP) is a universally conserved ribonucleoprotein involved in the co-translational targeting of proteins to membranes. Archaeal SRP consists of a 7S RNA and homologues of the eukaryotic SRP19 and SRP54 proteins. The record is from Rfam by way of RNAcentral. Lineage: Bacteria; Bacillati; Bacillota; Bacilli; Caryophanales; Paenibacillaceae.
CCGUGCUAGAUGGGGAGGUAGCGGUGCCCUGUAACUCGCAAUCCGCUAUAGCGAGGUUGAAUCCCUGUUCUAGGCCAUGUGGAUGCAAGGUCUGACUUCAGUGAACAGUGUUGACGAUCUUGGUCCGCCGCAAUGGAGGCCUGUGAACCCGGUCAGGUCCGGAAGGAAGCAGCCGUAAGCAUGUUUAUCCAUGUGCCGGCGGAGUGCCAGGUCAGAGCUGGAAUCUGGGGUUCCGCUUGUGUUGCAUCGGUCGAAGGCAGGUGCACGG